Molecule: ribosomal RNA, 500 nt
Filed under: uncultured bacterium
Lineage: Bacteria
Description: partial 16S ribosomal RNA
Rfam family: Bacterial small subunit ribosomal RNA
Source: RNAcentral
AUUGAACGCUGGCGGAAUGCUUUACACAUGCAAGUCGAACGGCAGCACGGACUUCGGUCUGGUGGCGAGUGGCGAACGGGUGAGUAACAUAUCGGAACGUAUCCAAUAAUGGGGGAUAACGAGUCGAAAGAUUCGCUAAUACCGCAUACGCCCUACGGGGGAAAGCUGGGGACCUUCGGGCCUGGCGUUAAUGGAGCGGCCGAUAUCUGAUAGGCUAGUUGGUGAGGUAAAGGCUCACCAAGGCGACGAUCAGUAGCUGGUCUGAGAGGACGACCAGCCACACUGGAACUGAGACACGGUCCAGACUCCUACGGGAGGCAGCAGUGGGGAAUUUUGGACAAUGGGCGCAAGCCUGAUCCAGCCAUUCCGCGUGAGUGAAGAAGGCCUUCGGGUUGUAAAGCUCCUUCGCAAGGGAAGAAAACUUAGCCACUAACAUUGGUUGAGGUUGACGGUACCUUGAUAAGAAGCACCGGCUAACUACGUGCCAGCCGCCGCGGUAA